RNAcentral lists this ribosomal RNA (229 nucleotides) under uncultured bacterium. RNAcentral's name for it is "partial 16S ribosomal RNA". It matches the Rfam family "Bacterial small subunit ribosomal RNA", at positions 568 to 796 of the family's 1533-position model. The record is from RNAcentral.
CGUGUAGGCGGGAAUACAAGUCAGAUGUGAAAUACUGUGGCUCAACCACAGAACGGCAUCUGAAACUGUAUUUCUUGAGUACUGGAGAGGAAAGCGGAAUUCCUAGUGUAGCGGUGAAAUGCGUAGAUAUUAGGAGGAACACCGGUGGCGAAGGCGGCUUUCUGGACAGUAACCGACGCUGAGACGCGAAAGCGUGGGGAGCAAACAGGAUUAGAUACCCUGGUAGUCC